GUGAGUCAUCGAAUCUUUGAACGCACAUUGCGCCCGCCAGUAUUCUGGCGGGCAUGCCUGUUCGAGCGUCAUUUCAACCCUCAAGCCCCAGCGCUUGGUGUUGGGGAACGGCCUCCCCCGGGAAAAGCACCUCGGUGCCCCCGGACGCCGCCCCCGAAAUGAAUUGGCGGUCUCGUCGCGGCCUCCUCUGCGUAGUAGCACAACCUCGCAUACGGAGCGCGACGCGGCCACUGCCGUAAAACGCACAAACUUUUUUUAGAGUUGACCUCGAAUCAGGUAGGAAUACCCGCUGAACUUAAGCAUAUCAAUAAGCGGAGGA
Molecule: unclassified non-coding RNA, 319 nt
Filed under: Metarhizium sp.
Lineage: Eukaryota; Fungi; Ascomycota; Sordariomycetes; Hypocreales; Clavicipitaceae
Description: partial contains 5.8S ribosomal RNA, internal transcribed spacer 2, and large subunit ribosomal RNA
Rfam family: 5.8S ribosomal RNA (bases 1-71)
Source: RNAcentral